UUGAUCCUGGCUCACAUCGAACGCUUAGGGCGUGGCUAAGGCAUGCAAGUCGAACGCGAAAGUGAUUCUUCGGGGAAGCGAGUAGAGUGGCGAAAGGGCGAGGAACACAUGGGAACGUACCUUUGGCUCGGGGAUAGCUGUGGGAAACCGCAGGUAAUACCCGACAUCGCGGAAACGUGAAAGCCGGGGAUCGAAAGACCUGGCGGCCAGAGAGCGGCCCAUGUCCUAUCAGCUUGUUGGUGAGGUAACGGCUCACCAAGGCGACGACGGGUACCGGGGCUGAGAGGUUGACCCGGCGCAUCGGGACUGAGACACUGCCCGGACUCCUACGGGAGGCUGCAGCACCGAAUAUUCCACAAUGGGCGAAAGCCUGAUGGAGCGACGCCGCGUGUGGGAGUAAGCCCUUCGGGGUGUAAACCACUGUCAGGGAUCACCAAGCGACCGGGGCGAACAGUCCCGGAAGUUGAGGAGUCCCAGAGGAAGUCACGGCUAACUUCGUGCCAGCAGCCGCGGUAAGACGAAGGUGGCGAGCGUUGUUCGGAAUUACUGGGCUUAAAGAGCACGUAGGUGGGCUUGCAAGCGUCUUGUGAAAGCCCCCGGCUUAACCGGGGAAUUGCAGGGCGAACUGCCAGCCUUGAGGCCCGUAAGGGCGAGUGGAACUCUUGGUGGACCGGUGGAAUGCGUAGAUAUCAAGAGGAACGCCGGAGGUGAAGACGACUCGCUGGGCCUGUCCUGACACUGAGGUGCGAAAGCCAGGGGAGCAAACGGGAUUAGAUACCCCGGUAGUCCUGGCCUUAAACGAUGUCCACUAGG
Molecule: ribosomal RNA, 813 nt
Filed under: uncultured organism
Description: bacterial SSU rRNA
Rfam family: Bacterial small subunit ribosomal RNA
Source: RNAcentral